This is a long non-coding RNA of Raphanus sativus (radish), 1384 nucleotides long. RefSeq lists it as uncharacterized. The transcript has 5 exons. The record is from RefSeq and is a predicted model, not a curated record. NCBI's taxonomy places the organism in Eukaryota, Viridiplantae, Streptophyta, Magnoliopsida, Brassicales, Brassicaceae.
CGUCUAGACGCAGCGUCCAGCGUCAAGACGCCGAGAAAACCAGCGGCCGCGUCAAAAGAUCUGCGUUUUUUUACCCUAUUUAUAAUUUUACCCUUAACCUAAUUUAUUAUUUACAAAAAAAACUAACAUAUUUGACGCAGCCGCCUCCUUUUGACGCAACUUCAUCUCUCUCGAUCUCUUCUCACAGACCUCUCAUCUCGAUCUCCAUCUCUUUGCGAUCUCCAUCUCAUCUCGAUCUCCAUCUCUCUCCAACUCCAUCUCACUCUCCAUCUCGACUCUCUCUCCAUCUCGUGCUCUCACUCCAUCUUGUGCCCUCACUCUCCAUCUCGUGCUCUCACUCUCCAUCUCACUCUCCAUCUCGACUCUCUCUCCAUCUCGUGCUCUCUGACACAAACCCAUCUCAAGUUCUCUCUCAAUCUCCGAAGCAGACCCAUCUAUGAGCUCUCUCUCUUGAACCUAACUUGGUGGAAGCCAUCGGUUUAAGAUUGACCCGGACAUUCAAAAGGGUUUAGACCUUGGUCUGGUGUCACCUGAGAUUCUACAGAACUUCUUUGAUCUAGAGCAAUAUCCUCUUAUUGCAGAGCUUACACAGAGGUUCCAGGGUUUCAGAGAAAGGCUUUCUGUGUGUGUCUGUCUUUCACUGUCUUGUAAGGAUCGGAAUCUCAUCCAAGUAAACGAAGGUUAUCAGACCAACUCUACUCCUCCAUCUAAAGUCAGAAUGCAGAAGCAUAUAAUGGUAGAAAAGGAGUUACAAUGAAUGUUCUCGCCAUAUGUAACUUCGAUAUGAAGUUCAUAUAUGCAUAUGUCGGAGUACCUGGUAGAGCACAUGAUUCAAAGGUCUUGACUCAUUGUGCGAGGAAUGAGGCUUCUUUCCCACAUCCUCCUCCUGAAAAGUACUACCUAGUUGAUUCCGGAUACUCGACCAGGGCAGGGUAUCUUGGUCCGCAUCGUAAUAUGCGAUAUCAUAUUCCUCAAUUUCAGAGAGGAGGACCACCAGUUAGUGCACGAGAGCUGUUUAACAAAAGGCAUUCAAGUCUGCGAUCAUACAUUGAGAGGACAUUUGGAGUAUGGAAAGCAAAAUGGAGGAUUUUGGACCGUAAGCAUCCAAAGUAUGGUCUGGUCAAGUGGAUUAAGUUGGUGACAGCGACGAUGGCGUUGACAGAAGGUGAUGAUGAUGAUGGUGGUGGACAUUAUUGAAUAUGAACCGAGAGGUGAUACAUCAAUGGAGGCUUUGCGUGAUAACAUCACAAAUGGAUUUGGUAGAGGUCGUUUACCAUAUUAAAUCAUGUUUUAGUUAAUGAUUUGAUUUUUUUUAAGACUUGCUGUAAUAAUUUUUUUUAUCAACCAACUUAAUUUCAUGUUUCUUUUAUCUGUAAAACAUAUU